This 480-nucleotide ribosomal RNA is filed under the name uncultured bacterium. RNAcentral describes it as "partial 16S ribosomal RNA". It matches the Rfam family "Bacterial small subunit ribosomal RNA", at positions 28 to 523 of the family's 1533-position model. The record is from RNAcentral.
GACGAACGCUGGCGGCGUGCCUAACACAUGCAAGUCGAGCGAAUGAAGUUCCUUCGGGAAUGGAUUUAGCGGCGGACGGGUGAGUAACACGUGGGCAACCUGCCUCAUAGAGGGGAAUAGCCUUCCGAAAGGGAGAUUAAUACCGCAUAAGAUUGUAGUACCGCAUGGUACAGCAAUUAAAGGAGCAAUCCGCUAUGAGAUGGGCCCGCGGCGCAUUAGCUAGUUGGUGAGGUAACGGCUCACCAAGGCGACGAUGCGUAGCCGACCUGAGAGGGGGAUCGGCCACAUUGGGACUGAGACACGGCCCAGACUCCUACGGGAGGCAGCAGUGGGGAAGAUUGCACAAUGGGGGAAACCCUGAUGCAGCAACGCCGCGUGAGUGAUGACGGCCUUCGGGUUGUAAAGCUCUGCCUUCAGGGACGAUAAUGACGGUACCUGAGGAGGAAGCCACGGCUAACUACGUGCCAGCCGCCGCCGUAA